Gastrolobium bilobum is the source of this 540-nucleotide long non-coding RNA. RefSeq lists it as uncharacterized. The record is from RefSeq and is a predicted model, not a curated record. The transcript is spliced from 4 exons. NCBI's taxonomy places the organism in Eukaryota, Viridiplantae, Streptophyta, Magnoliopsida, Fabales, Fabaceae.
CCCUCCAUGGCCAAGAAUUGCUCAAGCUUUCUUUCUUCCAUAACUUGGUCAAAUCUCCACCGAAUCCAACGAUUUUUGUCUUGAAACUUGUUGGAAAACACCUCCUAAACACAUUGGUACCACUCUUGAGCCUUGAAAUCGCGUGUGUGAGGAGAUCUUGGCCAUUUACAGCUGCGGUUUUGGUGAGGAAUUUUGUGUUCUUGGAGCUUCCAAGUGCUCCAAUGGUGGAGUAUAGUUAGGAGGAGCCUUGUACCUUCCAUUUGGGUUGCCGUACAUCGACCUGAAUCCCGAAUCUUGAAUCAGUAAAUUGCCCUUGGUCCGGGACCAAGUGGAUUGAGGCAUUCCGCUGUGUACCGAGUUGAGGGAUAAGCUGCUACGGAGCUUGUGGAAACACGAAUUAAGGAGGUAGCAGUGGAGCAGGAGCCUCGGGCAAGAGGCCCGCAGAGUGAGCGCUGGAGCGCUUCAUAUUUUGCAUUUUGUUGGCCGUGUGGCCUAGGCUAGACUUAGGGCAUGAACAUGUCAUUUGUAUUUAUUAGUAGC